Molecule: ribosomal RNA, 429 nt
Filed under: Verrucomicrobiota bacterium
Lineage: Bacteria; Pseudomonadati; Verrucomicrobiota
Description: Verrucomicrobia bacterium partial 16S ribosomal RNA
Rfam family: Bacterial small subunit ribosomal RNA
Source: RNAcentral
UAGGGAAUCUUCCGCAAUGGACGAAAGUCUGACGGAGCAACGCCGCGUGAGUGAAGAAGGAUUUCGGUUCGUAAAACUCUGUUGUUAGGGAAGAAAAAAUGUAUAGUAACUAUAUACAAAAGAGACGGUACCUAACCAGAAAGCCACGGCUAACUACGUGCCAGCAGCCGCGGUAAUACGUAGGUGGCAAGCGUUGUCCGGAAUUGUUGGGCGUAAAGCGCGCGCAGGUGGUUUAGAAAGUCUGAUGUGAAAGCCCACGGCUCAACCGUGGAGGGUCAUUGGAAACUAAUAAACUUGAGUGCCGGAGAGAAAAGUGGAAUUCCUAGUGUAGCGGUGAAAUGCGUAGAGAUUAGGAGGAACACCGGUGGCGAAAGCGGCUUUUUGGCCUGCAACUGACACUGAGGCGCGAAAGCGUGGGGAGCAAACAGG